RNAcentral lists this ribosomal RNA (457 nucleotides) under uncultured bacterium. Its description in RNAcentral is "bacterial SSU rRNA". It matches the Rfam family "Bacterial small subunit ribosomal RNA", at positions 28 to 507 of the family's 1533-position model. The record is from RNAcentral.
GACGAACGCUGGCGGCGUGCUUCAUACAUGCAAGUCGAACGAGAAAUUCACUUCGGUGGAUGGAAAGUGGCGGACGGGUGAGUAAAAUGUAGGAAAUCUGCCCUAGAGAGGGGGACAACGGUUGGAAACGACCGCUAAUACCCCAUAUGAGCGUACCUGAAAUGGUAUUCUUGAAAACUCCGGUGCUCUAGGAUGAGCCUGCAUCUGAUUAGCUAGUUGGGGGUGUAAUGGACCACCAAGGCGACGAUCAGUAGCUGGUUUGAGAGGAUGAUCAGCCACAAUGGGACUGAGACACGGCCCAUACUCCUACGGGAGGCAGCAGUGGGGAAUAUUGGGCAAUGGGCGAAAGCCUGACCCAGCGACGCCGCGUGAAGGAAGACGGUCUUCGGAUUGUAAACUUCUUUAUAAGGGACGAAGCAUGACGGUACCUUAUGAAUAAGCCACGGCUAACUACGUG